This 376-nucleotide ribosomal RNA is filed under the name uncultured bacterium. RNAcentral describes it as "bacterial SSU rRNA". It matches the Rfam family "Bacterial small subunit ribosomal RNA", at positions 523 to 898 of the family's 1533-position model. The record is from RNAcentral.
AUACGUAGGGAGCAAGCGUUGUCCGGAUUUACUGGGUGUAAAGGGUGCGUAGGCGGCUAUGCAAGUCAGUUGUGAAAACUAUGGGCUCAACCCAUAGCCUGCAAUUGAAACUGCGUAGCUUGAGUGAAGUAGAGGUAGGUGGAAUUCCCGGUGUAGCGGUGAAAUGCGUAGAGAUCGGGAGGAACACCAGUGGCGAAGGCGACCUACUGGGCUUUAACUGACGCUGAGGCACGAAAGCAUGGGUAGCAAACAGGAUUAGAUACCCUGGUAGUCCAUGCCGUAAACGAUGAUUACUAGGUGUGGGGGGUCUGACCCCCUCCGUGCCGGAGUUAACACAAUAAGUAAUCCACCUGGGGAGUACGACCGCAAGGUUGAA